GCAAUGGCAUCCUUCCCAGUACAGACUGCUCUCUUACCAAAAAGGAGGAUUCUAGUGAGGAGCCCCACAGUGCAAGUGCUCGCCUGACAUCCAGAGCGUGCAAUCUGAUCUCCUCUUCCAAUUUACAAGGUUUUGAAAAGCAGACCAGGGUUUGGAUACCGAGAGACUAUAAUGUUGCUCUUGAGUCCUUCAUGGAGUGAAGCACAUCGUUGGUGUUACUGGCAAAUAGUUUUUCACAAUCAAACGGGAGAUCUUCUGUAGUAUUCUGAACCUCGCAAGGAAAAGACGACGACGACUAUGAAAGCCGUGAAGCUCAAUGCAUCACGAUUGCUGUAGCAGUGGACCUCGCAGCUGUGUUGGCAACAUCAAGCGCAGAUUGUAGUGCGGUACGGGAGAUGAUUUGUCCAUCAGACUAUGGCUUUAAACUGAUGGUUCCCCCACCCCCCGGAAUGUCAUCAAUAA
This is a long non-coding RNA of Chelonia mydas (Green sea turtle), 462 nucleotides long. RefSeq lists it as uncharacterized. The record is from RefSeq and is a predicted model, not a curated record. Lineage: Eukaryota; Metazoa; Chordata; Testudines; Cheloniidae. The transcript is spliced from 3 exons.